RNAcentral lists this ribosomal RNA (509 nucleotides) under Ommastrephes brevimanus. RNAcentral's name for it is "partial 16S ribosomal RNA". It matches the Rfam family "Bacterial large subunit ribosomal RNA", at positions 1825 to 2597 of the family's 2925-position model. Lineage: Eukaryota; Metazoa; Mollusca; Cephalopoda; Oegopsida; Ommastrephidae. The record is from RNAcentral.
GUCUCUUUGUAAAAUAUAAAUAGAGAGUCGGGCCUGCUCGGUGAAUAAGUUUUUAACAGCUGCGGUAUUUUAACUGUACUAAGGUAGCAUAAUAAUUUGCCUUAUAAUUUGAGGCUAGAAUGAAUGGUUUGACGAAGGUUAAUCUGUCUCCAUCUUAUUUUUUAGAAGUUAAUUUUUAAAGUGAAAAAGCUUAAAUCUUUCAAAGGGACGAGAAGACCCUAAUGAGCUUAUAAUUUUAUUAUCAUUAUUUAAAACAUUUAGGUGGUGGUAUAUAAAUUUUAAUUGGGGUGAUUAAGGAAUAAAUUGUGUAUAGUAACUUCCUUAAAUUAGGUAUUUGUAGAUAAAGUAACCAAUGUAAUAUUGCUUAUAGUAUAGUUACCAUAGGGAUAACAGCGUAAUUUGUUUAGAGAGUUCUUAUUGAAAAACGAGAUUGCGACCUCGAUGUUGGAUUAAAGUAACCCUAAGGUGCAGAAGCUUUAGUAGGUAAAUCUGUUCGAUUUUUAAACUUU